Phyllosticta citriasiana is the source of this 122-nucleotide non-coding RNA. The record is from the annotation of a GenBank genome assembly. Lineage: Eukaryota; Fungi; Ascomycota; Dothideomycetes; Botryosphaeriales; Phyllostictaceae.
GCAGCUUUAGCUCACUUGGGAGAGCGCCAGACUGAAGUCUCACUUCGGUUUCUCGAUCUACUUUCGUAGCAUCAGCCCUGUGCGGUAUCUGGAGGUACUGUGUUCGAUCCACAGAAGCUGCA